UGAUGUGCAAAUGAUUGCUGAAGAAAAUUUAUACUGGCGAUUAUGUUUACAGCGAGAAGUACUUAAAAAUGGAAGUCGAGACUCCGAAAUCGUGACAAUUCCAGAAUCUCCACAGGAAUUUAUACCUGGAAAGGGUUCUCAUAUUAUAUUCUGGUACAAAGAUUCGCAGUGCGAGAAGUAACCUUCAUUGCAAAUUGAGGAAAAAUUUAUUUCACGGAUACUCAUUUGAUUGUUAUAAACGUAUCGGCCUAUUGUUAUGAACAGGUUAAGUAACAGACCUAUAGAAUUGAAUUGUUUUGUUUCAAUGUUUAAUAAAAUUUAUUAAGUGUCUGUCUUA
Stegodyphus dumicola is the source of this 337-nucleotide long non-coding RNA. NCBI's taxonomy places the organism in Eukaryota, Metazoa, Arthropoda, Arachnida, Araneae, Eresidae. The record is from RefSeq and is a predicted model, not a curated record.